Molecule: non-coding RNA, 72 nt
Organism: Phrynosoma platyrhinos (Desert horned lizard)
Lineage: Eukaryota; Metazoa; Chordata; Lepidosauria; Squamata; Phrynosomatidae
Source: the annotation of a GenBank genome assembly
GCCGGUGUGAAGUAGUGGUUUGAGUGUUGGACUAGACUUCAGAAGACCAGGGUUCAAAUCCCUAUUCAGCCA